This 1372-nucleotide ribosomal RNA is filed under the name uncultured bacterium. RNAcentral's name for it is "bacterial SSU rRNA". It matches the Rfam family "Bacterial small subunit ribosomal RNA", at positions 28 to 1381 of the family's 1533-position model. The record is from RNAcentral.
GAUGAACGCUGGCGGCGUGCCUAAUACAUGCAAGUCGAGCGAACGGACGAGAAGCUUGCUUCUCUGAUGUUAGCGGCGGACGGGUGAGUAACACGUGGAUAACCUACCUAUAAGACUGGGAUAACUUCGGGAAACCGGAGCUAAUACCGGAUAAUAUUUUGAACCGCAUGGUUCAAAAGUGAAAGACGGCCUUGCUGUCACUUAUAGAUGGAUCCGCGCUGCAUUAGCUAGUUGGUAAGGUAACGGCUUACCAAGGCAACGAUGCAUAGCCGACCUGAGAGGGUGAUCGGCCACACUGGAACUGAGACACGGUCCAGACUCCUACGGGAGGCAGCAGUAGGGAAUCUUCCGCAAUGGGCGAAAGCCUGACGGAGCAACGCCGCGUGAGUGAUGAAGGUCUUCGGAUCAUAAAACUCUGUUAUUAGGGAAGAACAUAUGUGUAAGUAACUGUGCACAUCUUGACGGUACCUAAUCAGAAAGCCACGGCUAACUACGUGCCAGCAGCCGCGGUAAUACGUAGGUGGCAAGCGUUAUCCGGAAUUAUUGGGCGUAAAGCGCGCGUAGGCGGUUUUUUAAGUCUGAUGUGAAAGCCCACGACUCAACCGUGGAGGGUCAUUGGAAACUGGAAAACUUGAGUGCAGAAGAGGAAAGUGGAAUUCCAUGUGUAGCGGUGAAAUGCGCAGAGAUAUGGAGGAACACCAGUGGCGAAGGCGACUUUCUGGUCUGUAACUGACGCUGAUGUGCGAAAGCGUGGGGAUCAAACAGGAUUAGAUACCCUGGUAGUCCACGCCGUAAACGAUGAGUGCUAAGUGUUAGGGGGUUUCCGCCCCUUAGUGCUGCAGCUAACGCAUUAAGCACUCCGCCUGGGGAGUACGACCGCAAGGUUGAAACUCAAAGGAAUUGACGGGGACCCGCACAAGCGGUGGAGCAUGUGGUUUAAUUCGAAGCAACGCGAAGAACCUUACCAAAUCUUGACAUCCUUUGACAACUCUAGAGAUAGAGCUUUCCCCUUCGGGGGACAAAGUGACAGGUGGUGCAUGGUUGUCGUCAGCUCGUGUCGUGAGAUGUUGGGUUAAGUCCCGCAACGAGCGCAACCCUUAAGCUUAGUUGCCAUCAUUAAGUUGGGCACUCUAAGUUGACUGCCGGUGACAAACCGGAGGAAGGUGGGGAUGACGUCAAAUCAUCAUGCCCCUUAUGAUUUGGGCUACACACGUGCUACAAUGGACAAUACAAAGGGCAGCGAAACCGCGAGGUCAAGCAAAUCCCAUAAAGUUGUUCUCAGUUCGGAUUGUAGUCUGCAACUCGACUACAUGAAGCUGGAAUCGCUAGUAAUCGUAGAUCAGCAUGCUACGGUGAAUACGUUCCCGGGUCU